Molecule: long non-coding RNA, 714 nt
Organism: Mytilus californianus (California mussel)
Lineage: Eukaryota; Metazoa; Mollusca; Bivalvia; Mytilida; Mytilidae
Exons: 3
Source: RefSeq, a predicted model, not a curated record
CCAAAUUAGUCACAUGAUACAUUUGUAAUUCACCUUCCUGUUUGAAGAAGGGUAUAUAAAUAUAUACAGACUGAAGGAAUGAUGAGUGAACCAUUUAAGAUAAGAGAACGUCCGUCGACUUGAUGAAGAAUCAAAACGAAGUGUAAAAUAACGAUUUGGUAAACAGAUGAUGAUUCAAAUAUAAGGAAUAAUGGCAAGUAACUGGAGUGUUUGCGGGGUGUGUGAUUAUCGCCACAUUACAAAACCAUCAGUUGUCUGGUGUUCAGAGUGUGAUGAAGGGCUCUGUGAAGAAUGUAAAGACCAUCAUGGUAUUUCAAAAGGAUCAAGAAAUCAUCAAACCGUAUCUAUUGCAGAGUAUCAGAAACUGCCAAACAAAGUAUUAAAAUUGGCACGUUCUUGUGCUAAGCACAAUGAGAAAUACGUGCUGUUCUGUAAAAAGCAUGACUGUCCGUGCUGCAAGAAAUGUGUAGUGGAAUCACACAUGGAAUGUAAAGAAUUGACCGAUAUCGAUGAUAUAACACGAAACAUCAAAUCUUCAAAUGCUUUUGCAGACAUCGAACAGACCUUAUCAGAAAUUGCAGAGAAUAUUAAAAGACUUCGAAUCAACCGGGAAGACAAUUUGGCGUCAAUCGGGAAAAAGAGUAGAGAAAUUGAAAAAGAGGUUCUAGAAACUCGUGCUAGGAUUAAUCUUCAUCUAGAUAAACUACAGGAUGC